GUGAGUUGGUGUGUGGCCAUCGGUCCCGUAAGGGACUGAGGAAACUCCGCUCACACGCAGAAAUGCAGUCCUCUGGACAAACCGAGAGGUUUGGCAACGGAGCAGAAACGAAACGUCCACCCGGAAUUGGCUAUGACGCAUUUGUGAUGCCGAGUCCGCUGGGCUGGAAACGGUGAAACGGCCGUCCUGCAUGUGGAAAGGGCAAACGGUCGCCGAUGACGACUCUGCCGGAAGGCGCGGGUAGCCCGAUUAGCCGAAUGCCACAGAUAACAGAAAGCGGGUUACGGCCAAAACAC
This 296-nucleotide RNase P RNA is filed under the name Candidatus Bathycorpusculum termitum. Its description in RNAcentral is "RNase P RNA component". It matches the Rfam family "Archaeal RNase P". From Rfam's summary of the family: Ribonuclease P (RNase P) is a ubiquitous endoribonuclease, found in archaea, bacteria and eukarya as well as chloroplasts and mitochondria. Its best characterised activity is the generation of mature 5'-ends of tRNAs by cleaving the 5'-leader elements of precursor-tRNAs. The record is from RNAcentral. Lineage: Archaea; Thermoproteati; Candidatus Bathyarchaeota; Bathyarchaeia (SeqCode); Bathyarchaeales (SeqCode); Candidatus Bathycorpusculaceae.